RNAcentral lists this ribosomal RNA (451 nucleotides) under uncultured bacterium. RNAcentral's name for it is "bacterial SSU rRNA". It matches the Rfam family "Bacterial small subunit ribosomal RNA", at positions 328 to 793 of the family's 1533-position model. The record is from RNAcentral.
GCCCCAGACUCCUACGGGAGGCAGCAGUGGGGAAUAUUGGGCAAUGGGCGCAAGCCUGACCCAGCAACGCCGCGUGAAGGAAGAAGGCUUUCGGGUUGUAAACUUCUUUUAUUGAGGACGAAACAAAUGACGGUACUCAAUGAAUAAGCCACGGCUAACUACGUGCCAGCAGCCGCGGUAAUACGUAGGUGGCAAGCGUUAUCCGGAUUUACUGGGUGUAAAGGGCGUGUAGGCGGGAGCGCAAGUCAGAUGUGAAAACUCAGGGCUCAACCCUGAGCCUGCAUUUGAAACUGUGUUUCUUGAGUGCUGGAGAGGCAAUCGGAAUUCCGUGUGUAGCGGUGAAAUGCGUAGAUAUACGGAGGAACACCAGUGGCGAAGGCGGAUUGCUGGACAGUAACUGACGCUGAGGCGCGAAAGCGUGGGGAGCAAACAGGAUUAGAUACCCUUGUAU